CGUAGGUGGCGAGCGUUGUCCGGAAUUACUGGGUGUAAAGGGCGUGUAGGCGGGAAUGCAAGUCAGAUGUGAAGUGCCGAGGCUUAACCUCGGAGCUGCAUCUGAAACUGUGUUUCUUGAGUGUCGGAGAGGAAAGUGGAAUUCCCAGUGUAGCGGUGAAAUGCGUAGAUAUUGGGAGGAACACCAGUGGCGAAGGCGACUUUCUGGACGAUAACUGACGCUGAGGCGCGAAAGCGUGGGGAGCAAACAGGAUUAGAUACCCUGGUAGUCCACGCCGUAAACGAUGGAUACUAGGUGUAGGGGGUAUCGACCCCCCCUGUGCCGCAGUUAACACAAUAAGUAUCCCACCUGGGGAGUACGGCCGCAAGGUUG
Molecule: ribosomal RNA, 372 nt
Filed under: uncultured organism
Description: bacterial SSU rRNA
Rfam family: Bacterial small subunit ribosomal RNA
Source: RNAcentral